This 496-nucleotide ribosomal RNA is filed under the name uncultured bacterium. RNAcentral describes it as "partial 16S ribosomal RNA". It matches the Rfam family "Bacterial small subunit ribosomal RNA", at positions 29 to 507 of the family's 1533-position model. The record is from RNAcentral.
AUGAACGCUGGCGGCGUGCCUAAUACAUGCAAGUCGCGCGAACGGACGAGAAGCUUGCUUCUCUGAUGUUAGCGGCGGACGGGUGAGUAACACGUGGAUAACCUACCUAUAAGACUGGGAUAACUUCGGGAAACCGUAGCUAAUACCGGAUAAUAUUUUGAACCGCAUGGUUCAAAAGUGAAAGACGGUCUUGCUGUCACUUAUAGAUAGAUCCGCGCUGCAUUAGCUAGUUGGUAAGGUAACGGCUUACCAAGGCAACGAUGCAUAGCCGACCUGAGAGGGUGAUCGGCCACACUGGAACUGAGACACGGUCCAGACUCCUACGGGAGGCAGCAGUAGGGAAUCUUCCGCAAUGGGCGAAAGCCUGACGGAGCAACGCCGCGUGAGUGAUGAAGGUCUUCGGAUCGUAAAACUCUGUUAUUAGGGAAGAACAUAUGUGUAAGUAACUGUGCACAUCUUGACGGUACCUAAUCAGAAAGCCACGGCUAACUACGUG